GUGAAUCAUCGAAUCUUUGAACGCAAAUUGCACUCUCUGGUAUUCCGGAGAGUAUGCCUGUUUGAGGGUCAGCUCACAUACAAAUCGGUGUGGUUGCUUCCUUUCGUGGUCACGCACCAGAUGUGGGUCGUCUUGCCUUCGGUUAGGUGACCUUUAAUUUUGCAUGAUUUUUUCGAACGUAUUUAAAUGAUUUUACGUAC
This 200-nucleotide unclassified non-coding RNA is filed under the name Glomus sp. RNAcentral's name for it is "partial contains 5.8S ribosomal RNA and internal transcribed spacer 2". The stretch from base 1 to 71 matches the Rfam family "5.8S ribosomal RNA", at positions 84 to 154 of the family's 154-position model. Lineage: Eukaryota; Fungi; Glomeromycota; Glomeromycetes; Glomerales; Glomeraceae. The record is from RNAcentral.